AUGUUGCGGUGAAUACGUUCCCGGGUCUUGUACUCACCGCCCGUCACACCAUGGGAGUUGAUUUCACUCGAAGUGGAAAUACUAAAUUAGUUAUCCCCCACAGUGGAAUCAGCGACUGGGGUGAAGUCGUAACAAGGUAACCGUAGGAGAACCUGCGGUUGGAUCACCUCCUUUCUAGA
RNAcentral lists this ribosomal RNA (179 nucleotides) under Campylobacter upsaliensis. RNAcentral's name for it is "partial 16S ribosomal RNA". It matches the Rfam family "Bacterial small subunit ribosomal RNA", at positions 1354 to 1533 of the family's 1533-position model. Lineage: Bacteria; Pseudomonadati; Campylobacterota; Epsilonproteobacteria; Campylobacterales; Campylobacteraceae. The record is from RNAcentral.